Molecule: small nucleolar RNA, 97 nt
Filed under: Echinops telfairi (small Madagascar hedgehog)
Lineage: Eukaryota; Metazoa; Chordata; Mammalia; Afrosoricida; Tenrecidae
Description: Small nucleolar RNA U109 (ENSETEG00000026666.1)
Source: RNAcentral
UUGCGUAUGGAAAUAGCCGUUCCUUAUUCCUGGUAGGAGCAGGAAUACACCCAUAAUACAUUUAAUGCUACAUUAAAAAAGGAGUUCUCAAAAAAAA